This 475-nucleotide long non-coding RNA is filed under the name Chinchilla lanigera (long-tailed chinchilla). RNAcentral's name for it is "lncRNA (ENSCLAG00000023649.1)". The record is from RNAcentral. Lineage: Eukaryota; Metazoa; Chordata; Mammalia; Rodentia; Chinchillidae.
CGAACAGGCUGAGUGGACACGAAUGAACGCGCCGCGCGGGACGGGUAGAGCCGAGCAGGGCCGAGUGGAGCUGACGAAACAGGUGGUGCUGAGGGUGACCUCAGGAGCUUACUGUUGUCACCUGUAAAUGAGGGAAAGGACACAGGUGACGCCCAGCUCUUCAUUUUCUAACGUGGAUGGGGCAGUUAAUUUUUCAGCUGUGAAAGCAAGGAGUAUUAUGACAAUUCCUGGUGUGUUUCAGUACCCUCAUCUACUCAAAGAGCAAGUCACACAGUUUCAUUCAGAAGCCAGCAAUGAGAGGAAUUCACAGCAGUGGAGAAUGUGUCCUGUGCUUUCCCACACUCCCAGGAGAUGGAUAAUGAAUUCUCAACAUGCUGUGGAGCUGGAUCGCUACUCAAAGAUGCAGCAACCUUUGUCGAAGGGCUCUUCCUUGCCCUUUGUGGCUCUCCAGCAUGGCAAAGUAUGUAUUGCAUGA